GGAAUAUUGGACAAUGGGGGCAACCCUGAUCCAGCCAUGCCGCGUGAGUGAAGAAGGCCUUAGGGUUGUAAAGCUCUUUCGGCGGGGACGAUGAUGACGGUACCCGCAGAAGCAGCCCCGGCUAACUUCGUGCCAGCAGCCGCGGUAAUACGAAGGGGGCAAGCGUUGUUCGGAUUUACUGGGCGUAAAGGGCGCGGAGGCGGAGCUUUAGGUCAGAGGUGAAAGCCCUGGGCUCAACCCGGGAAUUGCCUUUGAGACUGGGGAUCUUGGGUAUGGGAGAGGGUGGCGGAAUACCCAGUGUAGAGGUGAAAUUCGUAGAUAUUGGGUAGAACACCAGUGGCGAAGGCGGCCACCUGGCCCAUAACUGACGCUGAGGCGCGAAAGCGUGGGGAGCAAAC
Molecule: ribosomal RNA, 398 nt
Filed under: uncultured bacterium
Lineage: Bacteria
Description: bacterial SSU rRNA
Rfam family: Bacterial small subunit ribosomal RNA
Source: RNAcentral